RNAcentral lists this long non-coding RNA (1398 nucleotides) under Homo sapiens (human). Its description in RNAcentral is "HSALNT0377212". The record is from RNAcentral. Lineage: Eukaryota; Metazoa; Chordata; Mammalia; Primates; Hominidae.
CAAAGACCACAGAGGAGUAGGAAGAGGGCUGCCCUCGUACUCCCCAAGCCACCCCCGCCUCUGAGCGCGGAGGCACGAUGUUCUGGGGCUCGAGCCUUCGCAUCCACCGGGCCAGCGCUAACCACCGGCCGCCGCCCUGGAGGGGACCCGGCGGCCCCGCCACGUGCGGCUGCGAGUUUCAGACCCGCUUCCGGGGGGCGGCGGCCGUCGGAGGCCUGGGUUGGGGGGUCGUGAGCCGGAUGUUCCCCGCAGCUGGCCAGAAAGCUGCCUCUGAGCCUCUUGAGCAACUCCCUGCCUCCUCCGAACACUAUGCGUUUGUUACAACGAUUAAAUGAAGAACACAGAAGUCUCUGGCUCUGCCGGGCAGAACGCCUCUUAAGAGUAUCGCAGCUAAAAAGUGGGUUGGCUGUAAGCUGAUAAUCAGGUAGCUGUGGUCAGACACCCACUCCAGAACCUCUGCUACUCAGAGACCAUGUUAUCACACGCGACGUCCAUUAGGCCCCAGUAAUCCGCUAUCAACGCAUUUUAGAGCCAUUUGAAUGUUAAGGAGAUUUUUAUUAAUGGUCCAUGAUCCUAAAAUGUGACUAUUGGUUCUAGGAACAGAUUUUAACAACUCAAGGCUGUGAUGAGUGAUUUUCUGAUUUCUGUGCAGCCUAAGGCCUCAGGAGAUUUCAUCUGGGAGAUUGGGGGCAAGACCUAAGCCCUCACCCCACCAAGGACCUGUCUCUAAAGGGUACUUUCCAGCUUUUACCUGGGGAAACUGAGAUAGAGGGGGAGCAGGCCUGUGGCUCCUAAAGGCAGCAUUUGAAGGUCCUUUAAUGGGGAGACCAGGGGGACAAAAAAAGCAAUCAACAAUUGUAUGGCUACUAGAAACUGGCAUCUUAUUUUUAAAGAAGCCCUCAGCUGGAAAUGUCACCUAGUGAUGUCAAGUAGACUAAGAAAUUCUUAAUCAAAAGGCCCCCUUUGCACACCUGCAGUAGGCAAACUGAGGCAGGAGCAGUAGAGGUAGCAGGUAGCAGAGGAUUCUGAUUCUUGAAUACCUUUUUUUCCUUGUGGUGCUGAAACAGAAGUCAAUCCAAACUUUGCCCACUUACCAUUAUAUUUUCAGUGGGAUUCUUUUUUGUUUUCUUUGUUGUUGCUGUUGUUUUUUCUUUCAAAAUACCGUGUUUCCACUAAGAAUUAAAAGAAAAGGGGUGGGGAGAUUAAGGAAUAAAAGUGAGUCAUAGACCUCAUGCUGUUUGACUUUCCCUCUAGGAGAAAAACAAAAUUUGAAGCGACCCUCCCCCUAGUGAUAGCCUGGCUUCCCUGGCACCUGCAGUUAUCUUUGACCAAAUGGGUUGGACUUGGUAGGGAUCCUUUAUUUGAAUUUGCUUACUGUUUGUUUGCAGUUGACAGCAG